UACGUAGGGUGCAAGCGUUAAUCGGAAUUACUGGGCGUAAAGCGUGCGCAGGCGGUUUUGUAAGACUGUCGUGAAAUCCCCGGGCUUAACCUGGGAAUGGCGAUGGUGACUGCAAGGCUAGAGUUUGGCAGAGGGGGGUAGAAUUCCACGUGUAGCAGUGAAAUGCGUAGAGAUGUGGAGGAACACCGAUGGCGAAGGCGGCAUCCUGGACCGGCAUUGACGCUGAGGCGCGAAAGCCAGGGGAGCAAACGGG
This 253-nucleotide ribosomal RNA is filed under the name uncultured bacterium. Its description in RNAcentral is "partial 16S ribosomal RNA". It matches the Rfam family "Bacterial small subunit ribosomal RNA", at positions 524 to 776 of the family's 1533-position model. The record is from RNAcentral.